AUUGAACGCUGGCGGCAUGCCUUACACAUGCAAGUCGAACGGCAGCACGGGUGCUUGCACCUGGUGGCGAGUGGCGAACGGGUGAGUAAUGCACCGGAACGUAUCCAAUAAUGGGGGAUAACGCACCGAAAGGUGUGCUAAUACCGCAUACGCCCUGAGGGGGAAAGCGGGGGAUCGUAAGACCUCGCGUUAAUGGAGCGGCCGAUGCCGGAUUAGCUAGUUGGUGAGGUAAAGGCUCACCAAGGCGACGAUCCGUAGCUGGUCUGAGAGGACGACCAGCCACACUGGAACUGAGACACGGUCCAGACUCCUACG
Molecule: ribosomal RNA, 315 nt
Filed under: uncultured bacterium
Lineage: Bacteria
Description: bacterial SSU rRNA
Rfam family: Bacterial small subunit ribosomal RNA
Source: RNAcentral